AGUGAACGCUGGCGGUAGGCCUAACACAUGCAAGUCGAACGGCAGCACAGGAGAGCUUGCUCUCUGGGUGGCGAGUGGCGGACGGGUGAGGAAUACAUCGGAAUCUACUCUGUCGUGGGGGAUAACGUAGGGAAACUUACGCUAAUACCGCAUACGACCUACGGGUGAAAGCAGGGGAUCUUCGGACCUUGCGCGAUUGAAUGAGCCGAUGUCGGAUUAGCUAUGUGGCGGGGUAAAGGCCCACCAAGGCGACGAUCCGUAGCUGGUCUGAGAGGAUGAUCAGCCACACUGGAACUGAGACACGGUCCAGACUCCUACGGGAGGCAGCAGUGGGGAAUAUUGGACAAUGGGCGCAAGCCUGAUCCAGCCAUACCGCGUGGGUGAAGAAGGCCUUCGGGUUGUAAAGCCCUUUUGUUGGGAAAGAAAUCCAGCUGGCUAAUACCCGGUUGGGAUGACGGUACCCAAAGAAUAAGCACCGGCUAACUUCGUGCCAGCCGCCGCCGUAA
RNAcentral lists this ribosomal RNA (506 nucleotides) under uncultured bacterium. RNAcentral describes it as "partial 16S ribosomal RNA". It matches the Rfam family "Bacterial small subunit ribosomal RNA", at positions 29 to 523 of the family's 1533-position model. The record is from RNAcentral.